This is a non-coding RNA of Podarcis lilfordi (Lilford's wall lizard), 1162 nucleotides long. NCBI's taxonomy places the organism in Eukaryota, Metazoa, Chordata, Lepidosauria, Squamata, Lacertidae. The record is from the annotation of a GenBank genome assembly.
GAAGGGGACAACAGAGGAUGAGAUGGCUGGAGAGUGUUAUUGAAGCUACCAGCAUGAGUUUGACCAAACUGCGGGAGGCAGUGGAAGACAGGAGUGCCUGGCGUGCUCUGGUCCAUGGGAUCACGAAGAGUCGGACAUGACUAAAUGACUAAAUGAUGACAACAACAACAAUUCUAACCACACUUGACAAACUGUAGCAAGCUGCAAGUGUUUAAAGUGCCUGGAAACUAACUGAGACCACUGCUUCCAUGAGAAAAAAUAUGUAAGUAGAAUUGUGCAUCAUUAACAUACCUAUGAAACUCAAAUGGUUAACAACACGAGUGGCAAAACAGACCUUUGCGGAACACCAAAUCUUGUAUUGGAGGCAAAGCAGUCUUUGCUGACCACCACUUUCUGAGACUGUGCUAGCAAAAAGAAAUUAUUAUUAUUAUUUAUUGAAUUUAUACCCCACCCUAUACCAGGAGGUCUCAGGGCAGUUCACAGAACAGAAACGAAGCUUUUUCAGGGUCAACCACAUGGUGUAGUAAGUUGUCAUGAUCCAAAUUAGAAAAUGCACAUUUCCCCCCUUUUGAUUCCCCAUGGCUUGAAAUAGCCUUUGGAUAUUUGAGCAGCAUCAACACCUUCACUGAUAUACAUUGGUCUGUUCCUUGCAGAGAUAGGCAAUGAAACCAAAAAUAGGGUCGUCUCCCCCCUUUAUUUGCUCUACUACAGCUUCAUUUCCCAUUAGAGGGGAAACAAUCAACCCAGAAAGAUCUUUAUUUAUCCUCUUUAUUCCUUUACUCUGUCCAAUACAGGAAACGUAUUAUUAAGCAAUCAAGACUGUGCCGCGGCAAUCAUAAGGUGAUUAUGUUCCAACAUAACAAGUGGCAAGGUGUUGCCAAGAAAAGCUUUCUCUAGAGAGGUGGUUAUCUUCAGAAUAUGAAUUUUUAUUAGGGACUGGAAUAUUGGAGAGGAUGGAGGAUGGACUGUUUCCUCAGUUCUAUUCUCCUGUGAUCAACUACUUCUCUGUGUUUCUUCCACUUCUUAUGCAAAUCCAGCACAUGCACAGUUCAUGCAUCCUUGCAAAUAAACAGAACAUAGAACACAGAUGCUCUAUGUUGAGUCAGAACAUAGGCCCAUCCAGUUCAGUGGACAAUUAAUUUUACCAAUCCUACCUGUGGGC